GGCGCGAUAGCAAAGUGGUUAUGCACCGGCUUGCAAAGCCGUCGACGCUGGUUCGACUCCAGCUCGUGCCUCCA
Molecule: transfer RNA, 74 nt
Filed under: Caballeronia udeis
Lineage: Bacteria; Pseudomonadati; Pseudomonadota; Betaproteobacteria; Burkholderiales; Burkholderiaceae
Description: Paraburkholderia udeis tRNA-Cys
Rfam family: tRNA
About the family: Transfer RNA (tRNA) molecules are approximately 80 nucleotides in length. Their secondary structure includes four short double-helical elements and three loops (D, anti-codon, and T loops).
Source: RNAcentral